Molecule: transfer RNA, 67 nt
Filed under: Brachypterolus vestitus
Lineage: Eukaryota; Metazoa; Arthropoda; Insecta; Coleoptera; Kateretidae
Description: tRNA-Ser
Rfam family: tRNA
About the family: Transfer RNA (tRNA) molecules are approximately 80 nucleotides in length.
Source: RNAcentral
AGUUAAUGAACUUGAAUAAGUAUAUGCCUUGAAAGCAUAAAAUAGAGGUGUAACCCUCUAUUAACUU